UAAGACGAAGGUGGCAAGCGUUGCUCGGAAUCACUGGGCAUAAAGCGCGCGUAGGUGGCUUGAUAAGUCGGUGGUGAAAUCCCAUGGCUCAACCAUGGAACUGCCGUCGAUACUGUCAGGCUUGAGGGCGGUAGGGGAGAGUGGAACUCCUGGUGUAGCGGUGAAAUGCGUAGAUAUCAGGAGGAACGCCGGUGGCGAAAGCGACUCUCUGGGCCGUUCCUGACACUAAAGUGCGAAAGCUAGGGGAGCAAACAGGAUUAGAUACCCUGGUAGUCCUAGCUGUAAACGAUGGGCACUAGGUAGAGGUGGUUUCGAAGCCUCCUCUGCCGGAGCUAAUGUAUUAAGUGCCCCGCCUGGGGAGUAUGGUCGCAAGGCUA
This 377-nucleotide ribosomal RNA is filed under the name uncultured bacterium. Its description in RNAcentral is "bacterial SSU rRNA". It matches the Rfam family "Bacterial small subunit ribosomal RNA", at positions 521 to 896 of the family's 1533-position model. The record is from RNAcentral.